AUCUGAAAACGCCUCUUUAUUCGCUCCACGGCCAGUACUCUAAAAAUUCUCUCAUACAUAUCGUGAGCCAGCGAAUUCCCGCACAUAGAAAACCUCCCAAACUAAAAGGCAUAUAUGUGGUUCAUGAUGCUCGUGAUAUCCAAGGGGUGGAUUUCCACCUCAAUGCUGCACCGUGACCCGUUUCUACUCUAGCCUAACUCAGGGGGAAAAGGCGCAAGAAUGGGGCCACAAAAUAUAGAUGAUGCUGGGUCAUCGCUAGAAUAUUAAGAUCGGAGAAGUUGCAGGUACUGCCGCGUCCUAAACAUAUCGGGGGCUGCCUUUUACCAUCGUGCAUGGCUGGGAUCAACCAGGUAUCCAAUGUCAUUUACAUGGAGACAGGCGUUGUCGUUUCGACCUGCCCCAAUCAAGCGAUCUUUUCAGGGACCCAACGCGCUUCUCCUUGGGCCGGCAGUCUAUGCGAGACCGGUGAAAGUCUAUAAUCAGAACCCGACCCAGUUCAUCAUUCCAUAACAUGUUGGCAUUCCGUA
Molecule: small RNA, 527 nt
Filed under: Histoplasma ohiense
Lineage: Eukaryota; Fungi; Ascomycota; Eurotiomycetes; Onygenales; Ajellomycetaceae
Description: hypothetical lncRNA
Source: RNAcentral